This 120-nucleotide non-coding RNA is filed under the name Coriobacteriaceae bacterium EMTCatB1. Its description in RNAcentral is "FMN riboswitch aptamer (RFN element)". It matches the Rfam family "FMN riboswitch aptamer (RFN element)". Rfam says of the family: The RFN element is a highly conserved domain that is found frequently in the 5'-untranslated regions of prokaryotic mRNAs that encode for flavin mononucleotide (FMN) biosynthesis and transport proteins. The record is from Rfam by way of RNAcentral. Lineage: Bacteria; Bacillati; Actinomycetota; Coriobacteriia; Coriobacteriales; Coriobacteriaceae. RNAcentral also lists the same sequence under 1 other name.
UGCUUUCUUCAGGGCGGGGUGCAAGUCCCCACCGGCGGUGACAGCCCGCGAACCCCGAGAGGGGCCGAACCGGUGAAAUCCCGGUGCCGACGGUAAGAGUCCGGAUGGGAGAAGGAAGGU